UUCCGGUUGAUCCUGCCGGACCCUAUUGCUAUCGGGACAGGACUAAGACAUGCUAGUUUUGCGUGCUAGACGCGGCGCACAGCUCAGUAACACGUGGCCAACCUGCCCUUAGGACAAGUAUAACCCCGGGAAACUGGGGAUAAUUCUUGAUAGGUGAGGAAUUCUGGAAUGAGUCUUCGCCUAAAGCUUCUGUGCCUAAGGAUGGGGCCGCGGCCGAUCAGGUUGUUGGUGAGGUAACGGCUCACCAAGCCUAUAACCGGUACGGGCCGUGAAAGCGGAAGCCCGGAGAUGGGCACUGAGACAAGGGCCCAGGCCCUACGGGGCGCAGCAGUCGCGAAAACUUUGCAAUACACGAAAGCGUGACGGGGCUACCCCGAGUGCCGUCCGCUGAGGAUGGCUUUUCCCCGGUGUAAUGAGCCGGGGGAAUAAGGAGAGGGCAAGUCUGGUGUCAGCCGCCGCGGUAAUACCAGCUCUCCGAGUGGUAGGGAUGAUUAUUGGGCUUAAAGCGUCCGUAGCCGGCUUAGCAAGUCUCCUGUUAAAUUCAGCGACUUAAUCGUUGAGCCGCGGGAGAUACUACUAGGCUAGGAGGCGGAAGAGGCCGACGGUAUUCUCGGGGUAGGGGUGAAAUCCUAUAAUCCCGGGAGGACCACCAGUGGCGAAGGCUGUCGGCUAGAACGCGCCCGACGGUGAGGGAUGAAAGCUGGGGGAGCGAACCGGAUUAGAUACCCGGGUAGUCCCAGCUGUAAACGAUGCAGGCUAGGUGUUUGGGCGGCCACGAGCCGCUCUAGUGCCGCAGGGAAGUCGUUAAGCCUGCCGCCUGGGGAGUACGGCCGCAAGGCUGAAACUUAAAGGAAUUGGCGGGGGAGCACCACAAGGGGUGAAGCUUGCGGUUUAAUUGGAUUCAACGCCGGA
Molecule: ribosomal RNA, 912 nt
Filed under: uncultured archaeon
Lineage: Archaea
Description: bacterial SSU rRNA
Rfam family: Archaeal small subunit ribosomal RNA
Source: RNAcentral